This 81-nucleotide transfer RNA is filed under the name Amana wanzhensis. Its description in RNAcentral is "tRNA-Ile". The stretch from base 1 to 72 matches the Rfam family "tRNA". From Rfam's summary of the family: Transfer RNA (tRNA) molecules are approximately 80 nucleotides in length. Their secondary structure includes four short double-helical elements and three loops (D, anti-codon, and T loops). The record is from RNAcentral. Lineage: Eukaryota; Viridiplantae; Streptophyta; Magnoliopsida; Liliales; Liliaceae.
GGGCUAUUAGCUCAGUGGUAGAGCGCGCCCCUGAUACGGGCGAGGUCUCUGGUUCAAGUCCAGGAUGGCCCAGCUGCGCCA